UGUAUGAAGUUGGAAUCGCUAGUAAUCGCAGAUCAGAAUGCUGCGGUGAAUGCGUUCCCGGGUCUUGUACACACCGCCCGUCACACCACGGAAGUUGGGGGCGCCCGAAGCCACUUAGCUAACCCUUUUGGGAAGCGAGUGUCGAAGGUGAAAUCAAUAACUGGGGUGAAGUCGUAACAAGGUAGC
Molecule: ribosomal RNA, 186 nt
Filed under: uncultured bacterium
Lineage: Bacteria
Description: partial 16S ribosomal RNA
Rfam family: Bacterial small subunit ribosomal RNA
Source: RNAcentral